GGGACCGUGGCGCAAUUGGCGGCGCAACUGUUUUGCACACAGAAGGUUGAGGGUUCGAACCCCUCCGGCUCCA
Molecule: transfer RNA, 73 nt
Filed under: Ktedonobacteraceae bacterium
Lineage: Bacteria; Bacillati; Chloroflexota; Ktedonobacteria; Ktedonobacterales; Ktedonobacteraceae
Description: tRNA-Ala
Rfam family: tRNA
About the family: Transfer RNA (tRNA) molecules are approximately 80 nucleotides in length. Their secondary structure includes four short double-helical elements and three loops (D, anti-codon, and T loops).
Source: RNAcentral